Molecule: long non-coding RNA, 439 nt
Organism: Contarinia nasturtii (swede midge)
Lineage: Eukaryota; Metazoa; Arthropoda; Insecta; Diptera; Cecidomyiidae
Exons: 2
Source: RefSeq, a predicted model, not a curated record
AACACAAUUGUUAUUCAGCUCUCAACCGAAACGUGUUGUUUUCUUACAUAUUAUUAUCAAUUUGCAAACGUUUUAUUCAAAAUGAAAAUACAUUUUUUGGUUAUUGCUUUGUUGGUGGCAUCUUGUUGCGAGGCUAAUAUCAUCGGCAAUACUUUCAGAAGAGUCACCGACACAGUAAAGGUUGCAUUAUUUGGACGAAAAUCAGUACAGAAUCCAAACCAGAAUAUGGCCCACGGCAAUUACAGCUCUGGCUUUGCUAGCAACCAGAAUCAAAUGCUGAACCCAAAUGGUAUACCUGCAAGUAUCCCCAACGUUGCUUGAACUUCAACGGCGAACACGGUCACUACAUAUCAAACAUUUUUGAUUUGUACAGUUGAAAUGAACGGCUGUUUUCAUCAAUGACAAAAAUAAAAAAAAAGAAGAAAAGUGUUUUUUCAAA